Molecule: transfer RNA, 49 nt
Filed under: Amelichloa caudata
Lineage: Eukaryota; Viridiplantae; Streptophyta; Magnoliopsida; Poales; Poaceae
Description: partial tRNA-Leu
Source: RNAcentral
AAAAUCCGUCGACUUUAUAAGUUGUGAGGGUUCAAGUCCCUUAUCCCCA